GAUGAACGCUGGCGGCGUGCCUAAUACAUGCAAGUCGAGCGAAAGGUCGAGAAGCUUGCUCCUCUGAUGUUGGCGGCGGACGGGAGAGUAACAUGUGGUUAACCUACCUCUCCGACUGGGAUAACUUCGGGGAACCAGAGCUACUACCGGAUAAUUUUUUGAACCGCAUGGUUCAAAAGUUAAAGUCGGUAUUGCUUUCACUUAUAGAUGAAUACGCGUUGGAUUAGUUAGUUGGUAAGGUAACGGCUUACCAACGCAGCGAUGGAUAGACGACCUGAAAGGGUGGACGCCCACACGGGAUGAGAGAAACAGCAGAGACACCUAGAGGAGGCAGCGGUAGGGAAUCUUCCGGGAUGGGGGAAAGGCUGAUGGAGGAACGCCGGCUGAGUGAUGAAGCACUUCGGAUCGUAAAACGCUGUUAGUAGUGGAGAACAAAUGUUUAAGUAACUGGGCUCAUAUUGACGGUACCUAAAGAGAAAGCCCCGGCUAACUACGUG
This 497-nucleotide ribosomal RNA is filed under the name uncultured bacterium. Its description in RNAcentral is "partial 16S ribosomal RNA". It matches the Rfam family "Bacterial small subunit ribosomal RNA", at positions 28 to 507 of the family's 1533-position model. The record is from RNAcentral.